RNAcentral lists this ribosomal RNA (70 nucleotides) under Streptococcus pneumoniae. The record is from RNAcentral. Lineage: Bacteria; Bacillati; Bacillota; Bacilli; Lactobacillales; Streptococcaceae.
UUAAGUGACGAUAGCCUAGGAGAUACACCUGUACCCAUGCCGAACACAGAAGUUAAGCCCUAGAACGCCG